This 459-nucleotide ribosomal RNA is filed under the name uncultured bacterium. RNAcentral's name for it is "partial 16S ribosomal RNA". It matches the Rfam family "Bacterial small subunit ribosomal RNA", at positions 338 to 795 of the family's 1533-position model. The record is from RNAcentral.
CCUACGGGUGGCAGCAGUGAGGAAUCUUCGUCAAUGGCCGCAGGGCUGAACCAGCCAAGUCGCGUGAGGGAUGACGGUCCUAUGGAUUUUAAACCUCUUUUGUCAGGGAGCAAAGGGCGCCUCGUGUGGCGCUUUGCGAGUACCUGAAGAAAAAGCAUCGGCUAACUCCGUGACAGCAGCCGCGGUAAUACGGGGGAUGCGGGCGUUAUCCGGAUUUGUUGGGUUUAAAGGGUGCGCAGUCGGAAUGUCAAGUCAACGGUAAAAUUUCGGGGCUCAACCCCGUCGUGCCGUUGAAACUGGCGGUCUUGAGUGAGCGAGAAGGAUGUGGAAUGCGUGGUGUAGCGGUGAAAUGCAUAGAUAUCACGCAGAACUCCGAUGGCGAAGGCAGCAUACCGGCGCUCAACUGACGCUCAUGCACGAAAGCGUGGGUAUCGAACAGGAUUAGAUACCCGUGUAGUC